Long non-coding RNA from Ictalurus punctatus (channel catfish), 614 nucleotides. RefSeq lists it as uncharacterized. The record is from RefSeq and is a predicted model, not a curated record. The transcript is spliced from 3 exons. NCBI's taxonomy places the organism in Eukaryota, Metazoa, Chordata, Actinopteri, Siluriformes, Ictaluridae.
UCUCCUUAUUCUCUUCUUCUCCUCCUCUUCUGGCGUGAGCUGCUCCGCGGGAAAGACAGAUUGUAAGUGAUUACCAUGAUGGAUCUAACCCAUUUCAGCUGUAAGAUCUUCCCAAGGCAAUACACCUUCAGGAAGAAAUACAUCUCUCUCCGCAUUGCGACUAUAAAUAGCCUAGGUUAUUGUUGUAGACAUAACCGUGAAGUGAAUUUGAAGUGGAUGUGCCUAGGCUCGGAAUCAUGCCAUAGCGCAGGAUACUCUCAGGGAGAAUGAACACCUGAUUAAGUCCAACUCAACAACAGAAAGCAGGCUACAAAAUAACAGUCAGCGUUAGGGUUCUUGGCCGUCUGGUCGCAGACGGGGAAACAGACGUGAUGAUGGUCGGCUGCACCAUCCACUGCAAAUCUGGACUCGUGGAGAUCGCAGUUACUGUGGGGACAAAUGGGGCCGCAGGCGCCUCACCAUCCGGCCCUGGGCCCUGCAUUCAGUGUAGCAGUGUAGCUACUCAUUAAUCAUAGGUAAAAUAGCUCCCCGGCAGGAGAUGCAGAACUGCAGCGUGACACAGACUCCACACUGGCUUUGCUAAGGAUCAUUUCUCCACGCUGGCACGCUUCCAG